RNAcentral lists this transfer RNA (67 nucleotides) under Pyrocoelia analis. Its description in RNAcentral is "tRNA-Ser". The record is from RNAcentral. Lineage: Eukaryota; Metazoa; Arthropoda; Insecta; Coleoptera; Lampyridae.
AAUUAAUGAACUUGUAUAAGUUUAUAUUUUGAAAAUAUAACAAAGAGAUUAAACUCUCUAUUAAUUU